Molecule: small nucleolar RNA, 109 nt
Filed under: Exophiala sideris
Lineage: Eukaryota; Fungi; Ascomycota; Eurotiomycetes; Chaetothyriales; Herpotrichiellaceae
Description: Exophiala sp. SST-2011 A. fumigatus snoRNA Afu_304
Rfam family: A. fumigatus snoRNA Afu_304
Source: Rfam by way of RNAcentral
UACUAUGAUGAACAAGAGCAAAAGCUCUAUAAUCCCAGCUCUCCGACAGCAGUCUCGUCAUAAUCUCACGUUUGAGGCUGUUAUGAGCGAAGAAUUCCAACCCUGACAC